ACAGAAAUAAGGGGGGAGGGCACUGUUAGUUUCAGGGAGUUAUUUUUACUCCACUCAGAGAGUAAAAACUACUCUUUGCGGUGGAGUACUUUUAAAGGAGUAAUUUGAACUCCUUUAUUGGAGUAAAAACUACUCCACUGAGGAGUAAUUUUUUUGUUUACUCCCUUAACGGAGUAAGUUUUACUCUGCUGAGAAUUAGUAUCGAAUGUUUAUUAAAAAAAGAGUAAUUUUCACUCUUGUUGGUCAAAUAAUGGAGUAAAAAGUACUCUUUUCUGGGAGUAAUUUUAGCAGAGUGAAAACUGCUCCAACUAUCUAAAGUGAAAAGAAUUAUUUUUACUCCAGAUGGUCAAGAAAUGGAGUAAAAAAGUACUCCUUUUAGGGGGUAGGUUUUGAAGAGUAAAAACUACUCCAGCCAUCUCGUGUUGAAAGAGUAGUUUUUACUCCAGCUGUAUCUUUUUAGAGCAGUAACAAACCACUCCAAAUAUAUAAAAUAAAGGGAGUUGUUUUUUUUACUCUGAAUUAGCUGAAUUUAAGAAGGAAAACGAUAGUCUUUAUUAUAUAAGACAAAAGAUAAAAAUAAUAAUUUAUCGUAUCUAUUGGUAUUGAGACAAAAAACUCUACCAUGUGCCUAGGAGUUUCCUAAGAUUUCCUAAGUUCGAUCAAAACAACAAAAUAUGAUUAAAUUUCCUAAAAAUUCCUAGGAUUUCCUAGUAUAAGCAGUAGACCAGAAAAUGGAAAUAAUUUGGAUAAGAAAAUCUUAGGAAGAAGAUUUGAAGUUCUACAAUUUAGGAACUCUUAGGAAAUUCUUAGGAAAUCCUAAAAGAACAUUUUCAAUACAAGAACAGGCCUCACCAUACUUGCAUAUAUUGUCAGCUAUACUACAACAAUAAGAAAUGUAAUCAAAGACAGGCUUGGACUCGAACAUAAGUUUUAUGUGGUGUACUUUCAAAAUUGGCUCAGCAUAAUUAGUACUGCAUUUAAAAGAAAGAUAGGUUGGUUGAUAAUUGUAUAAAAUUCUUAGAUCCGAUUUGAACAUUAUAAAAUAAUAUAUAUUGUUUCUAAUAGAAAUGCUACUUGAGAUUAUAAAAAAAAAGAAGUCCCGCUUUGCAGAUAGAAGACGGCUCACCAGGGCUCGUAAAACCAAAAUGUACCGGGCGUCCCUAGCUUUAGUGGCCGAGAGGGGCUUGGGCCCAAGGCGCAAAAUCAUAACGGUCGAACGGAAGCCAUUAUCACAGCCUCCAAACAGAUAGCCGUUUAUUCCCGUCUUUUCUACGCGUAAUCCACCUUUUUUGAGGAUUUGAUGGCAGAACAUGGAUUGAAGUUAAAGGACAUUAUGAUAGAGAUAGUAAAAUGUGCUCGAGUUGAAAGCCAGAAAAGAAAGAAGUUUGAGGUAUAAGGAAUGUAUCAAUGCGUAAAUCGCAAGAAACGAAUAAAAACUUUGUAAACUUAA
Molecule: long non-coding RNA, 1450 nt
Organism: Nematostella vectensis (starlet sea anemone)
Lineage: Eukaryota; Metazoa; Cnidaria; Anthozoa; Actiniaria; Edwardsiidae
Exons: 2
Source: RefSeq, a predicted model, not a curated record